Salvia hispanica is the source of this 954-nucleotide non-coding RNA. The record is from RefSeq and is a predicted model, not a curated record. NCBI's taxonomy places the organism in Eukaryota, Viridiplantae, Streptophyta, Magnoliopsida, Lamiales, Lamiaceae.
AACAAAAUUAUUUCUCUCAAAAUUUCACCGCCUCUAUAGACCCUAAACCUCCCUUCUCUCUGAUUCUUCAUCGGCGGCGAGAUUCGACCGAUUGGGUGGCGUUUAGGCAUUUCAUUUGGUUUAGAAUCUGCGAGCUGAGUGUCGCACCGUUCGGGUGGCGUUUAAGCAUUUGGAGAAGAUCGUCGAGCCGAGAUCGGCAGUUUGAUUCUGUCGGCGACAAAUACAGUUCUCGGCGGGUGAUGUAUCCUCUCAUAUCCUCUGUUGAUUUCCAUUUGCUUUGCUUGAAGAUUUGAAACGAGGGAGAUAUUUGUGCUCUCUCCAUGUUCUUGGGAAUCCAGGCUGACCUCGUGUGCAAGGAUAAUGGUCAAAACUACAAUGAUUAGGUUUUUUCUAUGCCUCCAGUGCUUGUAUCUAUCCCGAAUUUAAGCAGUUGGAGACCAAUGUGAGCUUGAAGGAGGCUGAUGCAUGGCCUACAGAGUGAUUGGUGUACCCUCAAGAUGCUUAUGGUCUAGAGAAGCUGGCUACCGAGGAGUUGUGUAAACACUACAACAAGGACUUUGGUAUUGAGUGCCGCAUAGGAAGGUUCCAUAAUAUUUAUGGUCCAUUCGGGACAUGGAAAGGUGGGAGGGAGAAAGCACCAGCUGCUUUCUGUAGGAAAGCACUCACUGCUACUGAUAAAUUUGAGAUGUGGGGAGAUGGCAAGCAAACACGGUCGUUUACCUUUAUUGAUGAAUGUGUUGAGGGUGUUUUAAGAUUUUUCUCGGAGUACAAAUUUGAUAUCACAAAGUUGGAGCCUUGGGGUCCAAGGUGAUUACGUGGUUUUCCCUCGUACUGGAAUGCAUGCAUUUUUUGGAUGUGCUUUUCAAGGUGGUUGGGUCCGGCUCGUGAUAGCUGAUGCCUUCCUCCUCAUCAUGUACUACGGCUGCCAUUACGGGACAUUGAAGCGAUACGGAU